UCUGAACUGUAACCCCUACCCCUGAUG
Molecule: non-coding RNA, 27 nt
Filed under: Homo sapiens (human)
Lineage: Eukaryota; Metazoa; Chordata; Mammalia; Primates; Hominidae
Source: RNAcentral